RNAcentral lists this transfer RNA (83 nucleotides) under Felis catus (domestic cat). It matches the Rfam family "tRNA". Rfam says of the family: Transfer RNA (tRNA) molecules are approximately 80 nucleotides in length. Their secondary structure includes four short double-helical elements and three loops (D, anti-codon, and T loops). Lineage: Eukaryota; Metazoa; Chordata; Mammalia; Carnivora; Felidae. The record is from Rfam by way of RNAcentral. RNAcentral also lists the same sequence under 1 other name.
GCCUGGGUGGCUCAGUCGGUUGAGCAUCCGACUUUGGCUGGUCAUGAUCUCGUGGUUGGUGGGUUCGAGCCCCACGUCAGGCU